UACGAAGGGGGCUAGCGUUGCUCGGAAUCACUGGGCGUAAAGGGUGCGUAGGCGGCCUGGCAAGUGGAAGGUGAAAUCCCUCGGCUUAACCGAGGAACUGCCCUCCAAACUGCUUGGCUUGAGUCCGGGAGAGGUGAGUGGAAUUCCCAGUGUAGCGGUGAAAUGCGUAGAUAUUGGGAGGAACACCAGUGGCGAAGGCGGCUCACUGGACCGGAACUGACGCUGAGGCGCGAAAGCGUGGGGAGCAAACGGG
Molecule: ribosomal RNA, 253 nt
Filed under: uncultured bacterium
Lineage: Bacteria
Description: partial 16S ribosomal RNA
Rfam family: Bacterial small subunit ribosomal RNA
Source: RNAcentral